This 756-nucleotide ribosomal RNA is filed under the name uncultured bacterium. Its description in RNAcentral is "bacterial SSU rRNA". It matches the Rfam family "Bacterial small subunit ribosomal RNA", at positions 8 to 796 of the family's 1533-position model. The record is from RNAcentral.
AGAGUUUGAUCAUGGCUCAGAAUCAACGCUGGCGGCGUGCCUAACACAUGCAAGUCGAACGAGAAAGUGGAGCAAUCCAUGAGUAAAGUGGCGCACGGGUGAGUAACACGUGACUAACCUACCCUUGAGUGGGGGAUAACCUAGGGAAACCUGGGCUAAUACCGCAUAAUACCUACGGGUCAAAGGAGCAAUUCGCUCGAGGAGGGGGUCGCGGCCGAUUAGUUAGUUGGCGGGGUAAUGGCCCACCAAGACUGUGAUCGGUAUCCGGCCUGAGAGGGCGCACGGACACACCGGAACUGAAACACGGUCCAGACUCCUACGGGAGGCAGCAGUGGGGAAUUUUGCGCAAUGGGGGAAACCCUGACGCAGCAACGCCGCGUGGAGGAUGAAGUCCUUCGGGACGUAAACUCCUUUCGAUCGGGACGAUUAUGACGGUACCGGAAGAAGAAGCCCCGGCUAACUUCGUGCCAGCAGCCGCGGUAAUACGAGGGGGGCGAGCGUUGUUCGGAAUUAUUGGGCGUAAAGGGUGCGUAGGCGGUUUGGUAAGUCUGAUGUGAAAUCUAUGGGCUCAACUCAUAGUCUGCAUCGGAAACUGCCGGGCUUGAGUGUGGGAGAGGUGAGUGGAAUUUCCGGUGUAGCGGUGAAAUGCGUAGAUAUCGGAAGGAACACCUGUGGCGAAAGCGGCUCACUGGACCACAACUGACGCUGAUGCACGAAAGCUAGGGGAGCAAACAGGAUUAGAUACCCUAGUAGUCC